CUCUUCUGGGUUUGAUUUGGGAUGAAGGUAAAUUGAUGAUCUUUUAGGUAAAUGAUCAUAUGGGUUCCUUUACUCAUAUAACAUGUUAAUGAUUUCUUGCUUCUUUGGAAAAAAAAAUAAAUAAAGGUGUCAAGAAACCAGAUUGGGAAGAAGAGGAAACAUCAAGAGUCAUCUGCUAAUACCUCAGAAACUGCCCCUGAGGAUACUGUUGCUUCUACUAUGGAUGCCAACGAUGGAUUCACAUUUACUGAAGUAAAUUCAGU
Molecule: unclassified non-coding RNA, 263 nt
Filed under: Hevea brasiliensis (rubber tree)
Lineage: Eukaryota; Viridiplantae; Streptophyta; Magnoliopsida; Malpighiales; Euphorbiaceae
Source: RNAcentral